UACGUAGGGUGCAAGCGUUAAUCGGAAUUACUGGGCGUAAAGCGUGCGCAGGCGGUUUUGUAAGUCUGUCGUGAAAUCCCCGGGCUCAACCUGGGAAUUGCGAUGGAGACUGCAAGGCUAGAAUCUGGCAGAGGGGGGUGAGAAUUCCACGUGUGAGCAGUGAAAUGCGUAGAGAUGUGGAGGAACACCGAUGGCGAAGGCAGCCCCCUGGGUCAAGAUUGACGCUACAUGCACGAAGGCGUGGGGAGCAAA
This 252-nucleotide ribosomal RNA is filed under the name uncultured bacterium. RNAcentral's name for it is "partial 16S ribosomal RNA". It matches the Rfam family "Bacterial small subunit ribosomal RNA", at positions 524 to 772 of the family's 1533-position model. The record is from RNAcentral.